CCUACGGGGGGCAGCAGUGGGGAAUAUUGCGCAAUGGGCGAAAGCCUGACGCAGCGACGCCGCGUGAGGGAUGAAGGAUCUAUGGUUUGUAAACUUCUUUUAUAGGGGAAUAAAGGUAUCCACGUGUGGAUAUUUGCAUGUACCCUAUGAAUGAGCAUCGGCUAACUCCGUGCCAGCAGCCGCGGUAAUACGGAGGAUGCGAGCGUUAUCCGGAUUUAUUGGGUUUAAAGGGUGCGUAGGUUGUUUUUUAAGUCAGCGGUGAAAGUUUGUGGCUCAACCAUAAAAUUGCCGUUGAAACUGGAAGACUUGAGUGUGUUUGAGGUAGGCGGAAUGCGUGGUGUAGCGGUGAAAUGCAUAGAUAUCACGCAGAACUCCGAUUGCGAAGGCAGCUUACUAAGCCAUAACUGACACUGAAGCACGAAAGCGUGGGGAUCAAACAGGAUUAGAUACCCGAGUAGUC
Molecule: ribosomal RNA, 460 nt
Filed under: uncultured bacterium
Lineage: Bacteria
Description: partial 16S ribosomal RNA
Rfam family: Bacterial small subunit ribosomal RNA
Source: RNAcentral